RNAcentral lists this ribosomal RNA (432 nucleotides) under uncultured bacterium. RNAcentral's name for it is "partial 16S ribosomal RNA". It matches the Rfam family "Bacterial small subunit ribosomal RNA", at positions 29 to 506 of the family's 1533-position model. The record is from RNAcentral.
AACGAACGCUGGCGGCAUGCCUAACACAUGCAAGUCGAACGAGACCUUCGGGUCUAGUGGCGCACGGAUGCGUAACGCGUGGGAACCUGCCCUUAGGUUCGGAAUAACUCCCCGAAAGGGGUGCUAAUACCGGAUAAUGUCUUCGGACCAAAGAUUUAUCGCCUUUGGAUGGGCCCGCGUUGGAUUAGCUAGUUGGUAGGGUAAAAGCCUACCAAGGCGACGAUCCAUAGCUGGUCUGAGAGGAUGAUCAGCCACACUGGGACUGAGACACGGCCCAGACUCCUACGGGAGGCAGAAGUGGGGAAUAUUGGACAAUGGGCGAAAGCCUGAACCAGCAAUGCCGCGUGAGUGAUGAAGGCCUUAGGGUUGUAAAGCUCUUUUACCCGGGAUGAUAAUGACAGAACCGGGAGAAUAAGCUCCGGCUAACUCCGU